UGGGCAGAUAGAAAAGAAAAACAAAAAAAACACCACCACCAACAAAAACCCAACCCAAAACAUGCAGAGAUGUAGGUACACAUUGCAAAAGGAAAUAAAAAGAAAAGCCUGAGAUAUUUCACGGUGACUGAAACCUUGCAGGCCACUUACUCCUUAGUUGAGGAGCAGCCUUCAAACGACCCGGAGGGAAAUGCUUUCCCCUGCUAUCUUCAAUGAAAGCUGCCUUUUUUUCCUUUUUCCCUCUCUAGGUAGGGCCUCACAACCAUGCCCCCCAACAUCAGUGGGACUAAUGACACCGCUAAGGUUGCAAGGUUGCCUGCAUGGAUGCCUCUGCUCAGGGAGCUAUCAUGGAAGACAUACCUUAGCCUCUGUCUGGAAGUGUCAUCAGUUUUGACCGAUCACUUUUCGCCAUCCACCUGCUCCCUCCAUUCCUUUGGACUAUUUGCAGAAACGGGAUCUGGUGACCCAAUCUGCUGAGCAAUCCUCACUGCUGUGAGCCUCACCUGAAGCUCUGGGAACCAAUCCCCAUGAAACAAUCAGAAUUUAACUAAGGGACCAGCACUGGGGCAGUAAUUGCAAAGGAGGGGGGUUUGCUCUUACUGCCAAACAUAAAUAGCCAACCAUACUUUUCUUGCAGCAGAUACUCCAGGAACAUUGGGUGCUUUUGUAUUACUAGCUGCUGUGCUGCAGCCUUUCCCAGCACGUGUACAGCAUGUAUCAAUGAUUUUGAACAUAUACAGUGUAAUCAAACAUCAACCUAAAUGUUUCUAUGGUUAGCAGCUUCUGAGGUGCGAGGUACGUCACACAACCUUACCCAAGAUGUACAGAGAAAGGAUGAAAUCUGAAAAGCAGCUUUCACAAAGCCACCCAAACCAUACCUCUCUGGCCUUAGGUUUUCAAGCUCAGUUCUACAGAAGAGUUUUCUUCCUUCUGGGCGAAAAUGCAGCACGUUCAGGGCAUUUGCCCUGAACAUAUUUAUACUAGUGACUUUGUUCUGUGUUGCAAGACUUGUGAGUGCUUUACUGAUACAAAUAUUUCUGAUAAUGCUUGCAAACCAGAGAAGCCUGUUGAGGGAAUCAGUAAUCCUGAAGAAUGCUAUUAUAGUACAGAGUUGAAAUUACAAACAUGAACACAGUUCCAAAAGCCGUUUAAAAUACUUACUGGAGAAGUUACCGGACCAAUGGUACAGUUGCUACUUUCACCAGGAACUGAAGAAUCCUGCUUUUUAACACCAACUCAGAAGCCUGGAUUAUUGAAGAGCACUCCGUAACAGCAGGAAGAAAACCCAAAACGUAGUUGCAAAACUGGGGAAAAAAAAGAGAAGAACUGUGGUAAAGUUUUCC
This is a long non-coding RNA of Calidris pugnax (ruff), 1343 nucleotides long. RefSeq lists it as uncharacterized. The record is from RefSeq and is a predicted model, not a curated record. Lineage: Eukaryota; Metazoa; Chordata; Aves; Charadriiformes; Scolopacidae. The transcript has 4 exons.